This 62-nucleotide transfer RNA is filed under the name Lawsonella clevelandensis. It matches the Rfam family "tRNA", at positions 6 to 65 of the family's 71-position model. From Rfam's summary of the family: Transfer RNA (tRNA) molecules are approximately 80 nucleotides in length. Their secondary structure includes four short double-helical elements and three loops (D, anti-codon, and T loops). Further hydrogen bonds mediate the characteristic L-shaped molecular structure. tRNAs have two regions of fundamental functional importance: the anti-codon, which is responsible for specific mRNA codon recognition, and the 3' end, to which the tRNAs corresponding amino acid is attached (by aminoacyl-tRNA synthetases). tRNAs cope with the degeneracy of the genetic code in two manners: having more than one tRNA (with a specific anti-codon) for a particular amino acid; and 'wobble' base-pairing, i.e. permitting non-standard base-pairing at the 3rd anti-codon position. RNAcentral also lists the same sequence under 2 other names. The record is from RNAcentral. Lineage: Bacteria; Bacillati; Actinomycetota; Actinomycetes; Mycobacteriales; Lawsonellaceae.
CAUAGCUCAAUUGGCAGAGCAUUCGACUGUUAAUCGAAGGGUUGUUGGUUCGAGUCCAACUG